Molecule: transfer RNA, 74 nt
Filed under: Puniceicoccales bacterium
Lineage: Bacteria; Pseudomonadati; Verrucomicrobiota; Opitutia; Puniceicoccales
Description: tRNA-Gly
Rfam family: tRNA
About the family: Transfer RNA (tRNA) molecules are approximately 80 nucleotides in length. Their secondary structure includes four short double-helical elements and three loops (D, anti-codon, and T loops).
Source: RNAcentral
GCGGGCAUGGUUUAAUGGUAAAACCUUAGCCUUCCAAGCUAAUGAUGUCGGUUCGAUUCCGUCUGCCCGCACCA